UACACAUGCAGUCGAGCGGGGGAAGGUAGCUUGCUACUGGACCUAGCGGCGGANGGGUGAGUAAUGCUUAGGAAUCUGCCUAUUAGUGGGGGACAACAUUCCGAAAGAAUGCUAAUACCGCAUACGUCCUACGGGAGAAAGCAGGGGACCUUCGGGCCUUGCGCUAAUAGAUGAGCCUAAGUCGGAUUAGCUAGUUGGUGGGGUAAAGGCCUACCAAGGCGACGAUCUGUAGCGGGUCUGAGAGGAUGAUCCGCCACACUGGGACUGAGACACGGCCCAGACUCCUACGGGAGGCAGCAGUGGGGAAUAUUGGACAAUGGGGGGAACCCUGAUCCAGCCAUGCCGCGUGUGUGAAGAAGGCCUUAUGGUUGUAAAGCACUUUAAGCGAGGAGGAGGCUACUAGUAUUAAUACUACUGGAUAGUGGACGUUACUCGCAGAAUAAGCACCGGCUAACUCUGUGCCAGCAGCCGCGGUAAUACAGAGGGUGCGAGCGUUAAUCGGAUUUACUGGGCGUAAAGCGUGCGU
Molecule: ribosomal RNA, 526 nt
Filed under: bacterium ocnta7lb506onp10.8
Lineage: Bacteria
Description: bacterial SSU rRNA
Rfam family: Bacterial small subunit ribosomal RNA
Source: RNAcentral